This 75-nucleotide transfer RNA is filed under the name Desulfovibrio sp. RNAcentral describes it as "tRNA-Gln". It matches the Rfam family "tRNA". Rfam says of the family: Transfer RNA (tRNA) molecules are approximately 80 nucleotides in length. Lineage: Bacteria; Pseudomonadati; Thermodesulfobacteriota; Desulfovibrionia; Desulfovibrionales; Desulfovibrionaceae. The record is from RNAcentral.
UGGGAUGUAGCCAAGCGGUUAAGGCAACGGACUUUGACUCCGUCAUCGAAGGUUCGAUUCCUUCCAUCCCAGCCA